UCACACAAAAAGAUCAUCCAA
RNAcentral lists this non-coding RNA (21 nucleotides) under Caenorhabditis elegans. The record is from RNAcentral. Lineage: Eukaryota; Metazoa; Nematoda; Chromadorea; Rhabditida; Rhabditidae.